CGAUUCUGGCUCAGAACGAACGCUGGCGGCAUGGAUUAGGCAUGCAAGUCGAACGAAGCAGCAAUGCUUAGUGGCGGAAGGGUGAGGAACGCGUGAGCAACCUGCCCUCAAGUUGGGAAUAACAGUUGGAAACGACUGCUAAUACCGAAUGUGGCUUUUUGGACCGCAUGGUUCAGGGGCUAAAGAUUUAUUGCUUGAGGAUGGGCUCGCGUCCCAUUAGCUAGUUGGUGAGGUAACGGCUCACCAAGGCGAUGAUGGGUAGCUGGUCUGAGAGGAUGGUCAGCCACACUGGGACUGAGACACUGCCCAGACUCCUACGGGAGGCUGCAGUCGAGAAUCUUGGGCAAUGCGCGAAAGCGUGACCCAGCAAUGCCGCGUGCGGGAUGAAGGUCUUCGGAUUAGUAAACCGCUGUCCGACCCGGGAACGAAAGUUGACUGUACCGGGGGAGGAAGCCACGGCUAACUACGUGCCAGCCGCCGC
RNAcentral lists this ribosomal RNA (481 nucleotides) under uncultured bacterium. RNAcentral describes it as "bacterial SSU rRNA". It matches the Rfam family "Bacterial small subunit ribosomal RNA", at positions 14 to 518 of the family's 1533-position model. The record is from RNAcentral.